Molecule: ribosomal RNA, 510 nt
Filed under: uncultured bacterium
Lineage: Bacteria
Description: partial 16S ribosomal RNA
Rfam family: Bacterial small subunit ribosomal RNA
Source: RNAcentral
GACGAACGCUGGCGGCGUGCUUAACACAUGCAAGUCGAACGAAGAGCGACGGAAGCUUGCUUCUAUCAAUCUUAGUGGCGAACGGGUGAGUAACGCGUAAUCAACCUGCCCUUCAGAGGGGGACAACAGUUGGAAACGACUGCUAAUACCGCAUACGAUCUAACCUCGGCAUCGAGGAUAGAUGAAAGGUGGCCUCUACAUGUAAGCUAUCACUGAAGGAGGGGAUUGCGUCUGAUUAGCUAGUUGGAGGGGUAACGGCCCACCAAGGCGAUGAUCAGUAGCCGGUCUGAGAGGAUGAACGGCCACAUUGGGACUGAGACACGGCCCAGACUCCUACGGGAGGCAGCAGUGGGGAAUCUUCCGCAAUGGACGAAAGUCUGACGGAGCAACGCCGCGUGAGGGAUGACGGCCUUCGGGUUGUAAAGCUCUGUUAAUCGGGACGAAAGGCCUUCUUGCGAAUAGGGAGAAGGAUUGACGGUACCGGAAUAGAAAGCCACGGCUAACUACGUG